This 397-nucleotide ribosomal RNA is filed under the name uncultured bacterium. Its description in RNAcentral is "partial 16S ribosomal RNA". It matches the Rfam family "Bacterial small subunit ribosomal RNA", at positions 523 to 918 of the family's 1533-position model. The record is from RNAcentral.
CUACGUAGGGGGCGAGCGUUGUCCGGAAUGACUGGGCGUAAAGGGCGUGUAGGCGGCGGUGUAAGUCUGGAGUGAAAGUCCCGCAUUCAAUGUGGGAAUUGCUUUGGAUACUGCAGUGCUAGAGUGCGGAAGAGGUAAGUGGAAUUCCCAGUGUAGCGGUGAAAUGCGUAGAGAUUGGGAGGAACACCAGUGGCGAAGGCGACUUACUGGGCCGUAACUGACGCUGAGGCGCGAAAGCGUGGGGAGCGAACAGGAUUAGAUACCCUGGUAGUCCACGCGGUAAACGAUGAAUGCUAGGUGUAGGGGGUAUCGACCCCUUCUGUGCCGGAGUUAACACAAUAAGUAAUCCACCUGGGGAGUGCGGCCGCAAGGUUGAAACUCAAAUGAAUUGACGGGG